UACGUAGGGGGCAAGCGUUAUCCGGAAUUACUGGGUGUAAAGGGAGCGUAGACGGUAAUGUAAGUCUGGAGUGAAAGGCGGGGGCCCAACCCCCGGACUGCUCUGGAAACUAUGUUACUAGAGUGCAGGAGAGGUAAGCGGAAUUCCUAGUGUAGCGGUGAAAUACGUAGAUAUUAGGAGGAACACCAGUGGCGAAGGCGGCUUACUGGACUGUAACUGACGUUGAGGCUCGAAAGCGUGGGGAGCAAACAGG
This 253-nucleotide ribosomal RNA is filed under the name uncultured bacterium. RNAcentral describes it as "partial 16S ribosomal RNA". It matches the Rfam family "Bacterial small subunit ribosomal RNA", at positions 524 to 776 of the family's 1533-position model. The record is from RNAcentral.